This 253-nucleotide unclassified non-coding RNA is filed under the name uncultured Alphaproteobacteria bacterium. Its description in RNAcentral is "contains 16S-23S intergenic spacer region". It matches the Rfam family "Bacterial small subunit ribosomal RNA", at positions 524 to 776 of the family's 1533-position model. The record is from RNAcentral. Lineage: Bacteria; Pseudomonadati; Pseudomonadota; Alphaproteobacteria.
UACGGAUGGUGCAAGCGUUAAUCGGAAUUACUGGGCGUAAAGCGCACGUAGGCGGCGUAUCCAGUCAGGGGUGAAAGGCCUGGGCUCAACCCCGGAACUGCCUCUGAUACUGGCAAUCUCGAGUUCGGGAGAGGUGAGUGGAAUUCCGAGUGUAGAGGUGAAAUUCGUAGAUAUUCGGAGGAACACCAGUGGCGAAGGCGGCUCACUGGCCCGAAACUGACGCUGAGGUGCGAAAGCGUGGGGAGCAAACAGG